This 202-nucleotide ribosomal RNA is filed under the name uncultured bacterium. RNAcentral's name for it is "partial 16S ribosomal RNA". It matches the Rfam family "Bacterial small subunit ribosomal RNA", at positions 380 to 580 of the family's 1533-position model. The record is from RNAcentral.
ACUCCUACGGGAGGCAGCAGACGAAGAAGGUCUUCGGAUUGUAAAGCACUUUAAGUUGGGAGGAAGGGCAGUAAGUUAAUACCUUGCUGUUUUGACGUUACCGACAGAAUAAGCACCGGCUAACUCUGUGCCAGCAGCCGCGGUAAUACAGAGGGUGCAAGCGUUAAUCGGAAUUACUGGGCGUAAGCCAGCAGCCGCGGUA